GUGUGUGUGUGUGUGUGUGUGUGUGUGUGUGUGUGUGUGUGUGUGUGUAGGCAUACAUGGUUUACAAGACCAAUUUUCAGGUUUACUCACCAGCAUUACGAGACCAAUCGGGUUACGGAACCGAUUUUGAUGGUCUCGUAAACAUAAAUCUUUUUGAUGCUAUAACUAUUGAAUAUUAAUUAUAUAAGGCAUUAUGAAUACAUGUGUGAUUACAUAGAUUCUAGUGCUAACAGUUAAUAUAGUUGUUCUACAGUAAUGGCCAACCCCCUGCCUUUCUGAGGUUCAUACAUAUUGGUCUCACAAGGCAGGAUGGGUUUGUGAGACCAAGACGUGUGUGUCCAACAGCGCCCCCAGAGGCUGCAAGAGACAUUGCAAGUUAUACACGUUUCCGCGAAAAUACACACAAUGACGCGCCAAUUUUACACACAACGCGGGAAAUUCAGCGGGCUUGCAGUGUGGACAUGCCGGGAAGACAGGGAUGAACUUCGAAAAUGAGGCGAGGCAGACUAGACCCCAUUUGUGAUGCACAAAAUCACGUAAGACUGCAGAAGGAGAAAGCGUUGUGUGUCUGGAGAUACAUCAACCCCAUCAAAGGAAGAGGUGUGUUUGCAUUGGAGCCCAUUCAUAAAGGUUCAUUCGUUUUGGAGUACAGAGGAGUUUUGAAGACGACUGAUAAGACUACAGCGUGGAAUGAGUAUACAUACGUCUUCAAACACAAAGGAACGG
Long non-coding RNA from Etheostoma spectabile (orangethroat darter), 726 nucleotides. RefSeq lists it as uncharacterized. The transcript is spliced from 3 exons. NCBI's taxonomy places the organism in Eukaryota, Metazoa, Chordata, Actinopteri, Perciformes, Percidae. The record is from RefSeq and is a predicted model, not a curated record.